GACACUAUGGGCCCAGCAGCCAGGUGUCAGCUUCUGGAAUUGGCUUCGCCCCUGGCGAGAGCACCUCGGCCUCGUUCUCAGGGCCCUCCGAUGUGGGUCUGCGAUAACUGAGAUGCGGGGAACCCAGGUCCACAGCGUCGCAGGGCCCUCGCAAUGGCUUGGGAAACCGCUGACCACACGGCUCCUAUUCCCAGUAGCCCCGUGCUGCUGUCGCCCACACUACCUCUUCCUUGCGGCUUCCGGCCCCCGCAGCCUCAGUACCUCUGCCAUCUCGUUUGCAGAAGUCCAGGUUCAGGCCCCUCCUGUUGUUGCUGCAACUCCCUCACCCACAGCAGUACCUGAGGUGGCUUCUGGAGAGACUGCAGAUGUAGUCCAAACUGCUGCAGAGCAGAGCUUCGCUGAACUGGGGCUGGGGUCAUACACCCCAGUGGGGCUGAUCCAGAAUUUACUGGAAUUUAUGCAUGUCGAUCUGGGCCUACCUUGGUGGGGGGCCAUUGCUGCAUGUAAGGGGAAUAUACCCUGGACAUGGGUUAGGGAUUUAACCUCAUAGAUGGCAAUUCUUUGAAUGGAUUCAGGAAGUAGUUGCAGAAGCU
This 593-nucleotide small RNA is filed under the name Pan troglodytes (chimpanzee). RNAcentral describes it as "retained intron". The record is from RNAcentral. Lineage: Eukaryota; Metazoa; Chordata; Mammalia; Primates; Hominidae.